Bemisia tabaci is the source of this 1534-nucleotide non-coding RNA. The record is from RefSeq and is a predicted model, not a curated record. Lineage: Eukaryota; Metazoa; Arthropoda; Insecta; Hemiptera; Aleyrodidae.
CAAGCUGAGUUAAAAUAUAAUUUAAUUUGAUGUUGCAAAUCUUUAAAAUAUACGAUAGUCUCUUGUUUGAAGUAACCCCUGAGCAAAAAUGGCCAAAUUUAAAAGAGUUCCUGGGUAGCCAAUCACUAAAAAUUUCUGACGUGAAACUUCGAUUAGAAGUAUACCGUUGGGAAGUGGAUAAAUGAUGAAGAUUUAUUUUUAUAAAAACCAAAAAAAAUUGACCUCCUGAAACAUUCAGGGCUCCUGACGAAAAUUUAGGGAAAUGAGUUGUCAACACCUUCUCAUAUUUUUCCUUCAUAUUUUCGAUUUCCAUUUUAACUCAUUAGGGAUGGCUGGAUUUUGUUCAUUUCUGUCUUUUUCAGUCCUAUCUCCCAGCCAUCACCUACAAUCACCCAUUACUUUAAUUACUGAACUUGCAUCUGAUAGCUCCACUGAUUACAGCCAGCCAAUAGCGUGUAGACUUGUUGUCUCACCACCUGUGACGUCAGCAAGUCUAUAAAAGCUUGCGCUGCCCUAAAAUCAAGGUCCUUUUACCAUCUUGACCCGUACAUGUACGUAGUGCCCUUUUUCGCCCUUUUGGCACAUUUUUAGUGACUAAUUUCAAUCUUGUAAUUCUGUAACUUUUUCUCUCUUUCGAUCAAUACAUUCCAAAUUCCAUCUCCAACAUUUCGUUAUUCAAUUAUUUCCGCGUAGUUUGUUGUUCCUACUCAAAGAGCAACUGGUGCCGAACGGAUAUUCCAACCUUCUCUUAUGACAUAAGUUUUUUUUGAGAAACUGUUUGUGGCAACGAGCAUCCUCAUCUCUCAAACCCCACUUCCAGAGCCACAUCUUUGAAUGGAUUCAUCAAAUCUUGAAAACUGUUUAACUUAUGAUUUUGAUCAUGACUCCUUUUCUAGAUGAAACCUCUCUUCGUAAAACUUGCAGAUGUAAGUAAUGGCUUCUAAGACUUUAAGAAAAGGGAAGCAUAAUUCAACAGACUCUAGGUGAAACAUUCACCCUUCAGGUAUUUGUCAUAGGAUUCACAGGCAACAGCAGGAAAAUGACAACGCGGUGACACACUGUCAGUGAAGAAUUUGUACGCUCUGCGGUGGUUGCACAAGCUUCGUCCGUAUACUUCUGAGGCAGCUAAAAACCAAAAUAAAUCGAAUAUAUUAUAAAAUAAAUAAAUAAUAAAUAGAUUCAGGAUUACCACUGCAUGUGUCCCCUCUCACGGUCAAAUCUUUUCAGAGAUUCUUCGAGGUUUAUAUAGUAGAUAUAAAAUCGUCCUAAAUGUUUAUUACAUACGCCUAAAUGUCAAGAAUAAGUUACUUGAAGAGCACACAUCUACUGUUGCACAACAAAAAUUUUCUUCAAAUUUCAUCAAAUAUUUCAUCAAUUUUAACGAAUGUAGACUAUCAAAAUAAAGCUUGUAAGCUCUGAAUUGUCCAAAUUUCCCAUCAUCUACCAGCCACCGGCUACAUAGGUUUAAAUAAUCUAAUGUUCAUUGUAUGUAAGAAAAUAUCCAAGAAAAAUAAAAGGAAGAAUUCGAAAAUUA